GAUGAACGCUGGCGGCGUGCCUAAUACAUGCAAGUCGAGCGAACAGAUAAGGAGCUUGCUCCUUUGACGUUAGCGGCGGACGGGUGAGUAACACGUGGAUAACCUACCUAUAAGACUGGGAUAACUUCGGGAAACCGGAGCUAAUACCGGAUAACAUAUUGAACCGCAUGGUUCAAUAGUGAAAGGCGGCUUUGCUGUCACUUAUAGAUGGAUCCGCGCCGUAUUAGCUAGUUGGUAAGGUAACGGCUUACCAAGGCAACGAUACGUAGCCGACCUGAGAGGGUGAUCGGCCACACUGGAACUGAGACACGGUCCAGACUCCUACGGGAGGCAGCAGUAGGGAAUCUUCCGCAAUGGGCGAAAGCCUGACGGAGCAACGCCGCGUGAGUGAUGAAGGUCUUCGGAUCGUAAAACUCUGUUAUCAGGGAAGGACAAAUGUGUAAGUAACUGUGCACAUCUUGACGGUACCUGAUCAGAAAGCCACGGCUAACUACGUG
This 497-nucleotide ribosomal RNA is filed under the name uncultured bacterium. Its description in RNAcentral is "partial 16S ribosomal RNA". It matches the Rfam family "Bacterial small subunit ribosomal RNA", at positions 28 to 507 of the family's 1533-position model. The record is from RNAcentral.